Molecule: long non-coding RNA, 382 nt
Filed under: Setaria italica (foxtail millet)
Lineage: Eukaryota; Viridiplantae; Streptophyta; Magnoliopsida; Poales; Poaceae
Description: long non-coding RNA (SITA_LNC004673)
Source: RNAcentral
AAGUAAGGAAAACAUUAAGAAGAUAAAUGAACAGGGGAUUAGAGAGUAGCAAUAUCACUAAGAAAUCAAGGAGGUGUAUUGCAUCAAACAGGUAAGAUCAUUCAUCAAGAAGGAGAUGCAUGAUCAAGAUCAAGCAGUGAUCAAGGAGAGAGGAAAUAAAUAGACAAGGAUUGAGGGUCUAACAUUUGCAAGACAAGAAGUGCAAAUGAAAAGAGCUCAAGUUAUCAAGGAGGAUUGAGAAAAGAAAAUGAUCAAGGAGUGAGAAUAUUUUUCAGAAAGGUCAAGGAUAAGGCAGGAAUUGUUUAUAGAAUAAAAUAGACCUUAGGAAGUGACCAUUGCUAUCUAGGCUUACGUCCUACAGUCGAUACGGCUCUGAUACCAC